GAUGAACGCUGGCGGCGUGCCUAAUACAUGCAAGUCGAGCGAACGGACGAUAAGCUUGCUUCUUUGAUGUUAGCGGCGGACGGGUGAGUAACACGUGGAUAACCUACCUAUAAGACUGGGAUAACUUCGGGAAACCGGAGCUAAUACCGGAUAAUAUUUUGAACCGCAUGGUUCAAAAGUGAAAGACGGUCUUGCUGUCUCUUAUAGAUGGAUCCGCGCUGCAUUAGCUAGUUGGUAAGGUAACGGCUUACCAAGGCGACGAUGCAUAGCCGACCUGAGAGGGUGAUCAGCCACACUGGAACUGAGACACGGUCCAGACUCCUACGGGAGGCAGCAGUAGGGAAUAUUGCGCAAAGGGCGAAAGCCUGACGGAGCAACGCCGCGUGAGUGAUGAAGGUCUUCGGAUCGUAAAACUCUGUUAUUAGGGAAGAACAUAUGUGUAAGUAUCUGUGCACAUCUUGACGGUACCUAAUCAGAAAGCCACGGCUAACUACGUG
RNAcentral lists this ribosomal RNA (497 nucleotides) under uncultured bacterium. RNAcentral describes it as "partial 16S ribosomal RNA". It matches the Rfam family "Bacterial small subunit ribosomal RNA", at positions 28 to 507 of the family's 1533-position model. The record is from RNAcentral.